UAUAUAUAUAUAUAUAUAUAUAUAUUUCAUUAGAAAAAGUGCAGUACAUUUUCAUGGUACGGUCAGUACUGUUUAUUUUUGUAAUAAAGUGAACUUAAUUUUUCCACUGAGUGUUAUAUUUUCAUUCAGUAGUAAUCGGUUAUUAGUAGGUGCUACCCGACUUAUCGGUUAUCGGCAUCUGUAAGAUCCACUGUCGAUCAGCCUUUAAAAUAGAUUAAUGUGUAUGACAUGAUCUUCUUUAAUUAAUAAAGAAAUGCGCUUGUUGACAACUUGCUGUGGUAUAAGGGGAAUAAAACACUUCAGAAUGUGCAGUUCUACAUUAGGGUGAUAACGGUCACUCCACUUCAUUGGAUUGUUGACUGUUUUCCUAUAACCGUAUGUUUAUUCCUUACAUAAAUUAAACACAAAGCAUGUAGGGGUUCUACAUGCAUGUAGUAUUUGUACAAUCAAUAACCUAUUAGAGUAAUACAUUGUGGUAUAUAAACUGAACUUUGUGUUUGAUGUGUCUGCAGUGCCCAAAGCCCGUGGUGGUGGCAGUGCAUGGCGGUUGUGUAUAAGCAGGUCUGUUGGGACUGUUAAGUACCAUCAUCUCAUACACUCACCACAACUCUGGGAAGUUCCAUCCAUAUUGUUUGCUGUCACUUUUCCUGCAAAGCUUUAACCAUCAGAGAGUUAUCUUUUACUGGGGCUUUUAGCUGCAGGAGACUGAAUUACUAAGUUUUUUUUUUUGUGGAUCUGAUUUCUUCUUUUCAGGAGUGGAUCUAAUCACAGCCUGUGAUAUUCGUCUGUGCACACAGGAUGCCUGGUUUCAGGUGAAGGUAUGAGGAACAUUAACUUGCCAUACAUUGCUUGCUUACAUGUUUACACCAAGAUCUGUAAACAAGCUAUUUUUGUCCAUAUGAUCAUAUAUAGAGAUAGUAAGUGAUGAGAAGAUAAGAAUGGGCUGAUUGUUCUGACUCAUACAAGCCCCUAUGAAAGAGUUGACCACAAGGGGGCACACUCUGAACAAUUAUUUACAUUUGCAGUUUGUUGAAGAUUAAAUAAACCACAGUGAGCAUCAGAUGUCUGGUUUUAAUACAAAGUUUUAUGAUGAACUAUUUUAUGAUAUUACCAUCUUGUCAUUUAUCAAAGAAGAGCUACAAAACCUGAAAUUUGUUCAUUUUUAGACAGAAAAAUUCUGCAGUGUAGCUCUUCUAGUGGGCUUUCCCACUGGAUGUUUAGUCCAACACAGAGCAGUUUGCAUGAAAAGUUGGUAAUGUGACCGUCGUAAUGUGGACUGGGAAGUGCACUGCGGUACCGAACCCGAGACUACCUGUAGAAGGUGGUCCGAGUUCAGUUACAAUGGAACUGUGAAUGUGAAUUGUCCCAUGAAUGUGAACAUAACUUGUAUCCGGGUCUGCACUUUUUCAGGAAGUAGAGUAACCUGUGCUGAAGGCCUGUUGUGGUGAUGACGUGUCAUGACAUGUUUUGGCCCAAAUCUGCAGUGACUUUGAAAAAGUGGAAGCUCCUCUGAAUAUUGUGGAGUUUCUUGAUUUUGCGUUAAUUUCUGUGAUCACAAAAAGAUGAAAUUCUGGACUGACACAUGGAAGAUAUGGAAUGAUAACAGAAGAAUGUGACUUUGGGUUGUACCGUGUAUUUUUUUCAUGUAGCUUUAUUAUUUAGUAUAAAUGAAGGCAAGUGUGUGUUCUGUUCUUCAUCUCUGCAGUCGUGUGUUCCCUGAUAGUCAAUGAUUGCUGGAGCUCUGGAAAUAGCAGGUGAGAUUGCAGGCCGGAGUCGCGUCGCUGUCCAAGGAACCAAAAUCAACCUCCUCUACUCCUGAGACCACAGUGUGACUGAGAGCCUAGACUACAUGGCUACUUGGAACAUGAACAUGCUGCAGACACAGGAUCUUAUGAAGUCAGCGCAGGCAGCCCUGGAAAAGAAGAGUCCGAAAGACAUGCCCUUCUCCAAGCUUUAAAGGAGAAGAUCCAGGGCUGUUGAAGCUGCGGUGGAACUGAGACAUCAUCAUCCACAUAUCUUCAGUUCUUCUUGCUAAGAGAACGAGAAACUCGGACACAACAGUACAUCCUGACCAUUGGUACUGUGUACACAUCAACAUACACACACGUCUCCAUGCUGGACAUCUCAGGAGCUUUCACACAGUGCUAGGAAUAUCCCGGGACAGAGAAACGCACCUUCUAAGUGAGCGAGUUUAGCGUCAACCGGUGAAAUUUGCUGUAGCGUGAACACUUUGCCUCUGUGAGCUUCACUCUCCGUAGGGUUCACUGUAAUUAGACAUAAAAUGUACAUAGUUUAUUUUUCAUGCAUUUAGGAUUUCAUGUUUUUUUUGUUUUUUUUUUACUCUUCGAGGAAAAGAAAUGAUCUUUCGAGGCAGCUUCUUCAUCACUACCUGCUCCGUUUGACUCAAAAAUGUAACGACCGGUUUCAAAAAGUCACGAUGUCUUCAGUUCAUGAGAUUUUACUGUUGAAUUUAAACAGGAAAUGUGAAAUAUUUUUUUCCCUUUGUUUCCUCUACUGUCUUUUUGCUGUGAUCUUGAACACAGUUGUAAUUUUUUAAAAAAUAAAAAUAAAAAAAUGAUAAUUCUAGUUCUCUCACUUUCCUUGUCCUAAUUGUCCUGUAUCUGUUAAAUCCGUUUCAUCUCUGUUCUUUCUGUCUGUAUGAACACUUGUAGAAAUGACUUGUAGUCCAUAUUUUUAAAUGAUUCGUGAUUUUGAAUUUAAAUAAAGAUAUUCUUUAAUUCUG
Molecule: long non-coding RNA, 2743 nt
Organism: Ictalurus punctatus (channel catfish)
Lineage: Eukaryota; Metazoa; Chordata; Actinopteri; Siluriformes; Ictaluridae
Exons: 3
Source: RefSeq, a predicted model, not a curated record